Molecule: ribosomal RNA, 149 nt
Filed under: uncultured bacterium
Lineage: Bacteria
Description: partial 16S ribosomal RNA
Rfam family: Bacterial small subunit ribosomal RNA
Source: RNAcentral
UGGGGGAUAUUGCACAAUGGGAGAAACCCUGAUGCAGCGACGCCGCGUGGGUGAAGGAGCACUUCGGUGCGUAAAGCCCUAUCGGCAGGGAAGAAAAGGGGGAAACCCCAGACGGUACCUGACUAAGAAGCCCCGGCUAACUACGUGCC